AUGUUCCUAUCACCAGGCCAACAAGAACCAUACCGGAACAGGAAGCAAACGCUCUCACAAAAUGUCAUGGUUGCUUGUGACUUCGACUUAAAAUUUGUGCAUGUACAUGCUGGGUGGGAAGGAUCAGCUUCUGAUGCAAGAGUUCUACAAGAUGCACUAAAUCAUGGUUUUCAUGUACCUCAUGGUAAAUUUUACCUUGUUGAUGCUGGUUAUGCAAACACACCCCAAUUUCUUGCUCCAUACCGUGGUACUAGGUAUCAUCUAAAAGAACAAGGAGAAGCACGUCAAAGGCCACAAAAUUACAAGGAAUUGUUCAACCUUCGUCAUGCUCAACUUCGGAAUCAUAUAGAGAGAAUUAUCGGCAUACUAAAAAUGAGAUUUCCUAUCCUGAAAGUUGCUGCACAUUAUUCAGUUGAUAAACAAAUUGACAUAUCUGUGGCUUGUUGUGUUCUGCACAAUUUCAUACGCCUACACAAAGGAGAUAUGGAGUGGCCCAAAGAUGCUCCCAUGGAGAUUGACCCGAACCAGAUUGUUGAUGUGCCAAAUGGAGACCACGACUAUCAUGGUGAUAUACAUGCAUUUAAUUAUUCCAGACAAGCAGGAAAUCAAAUGCGAGAUCAUAUUGCACAAGGAAUGUGGAACCAGUAUGUAUCACGCAGAGCUUGA
This 666-nucleotide ribosomal RNA is filed under the name Triticum aestivum (bread wheat). RNAcentral describes it as "partial small subunit ribosomal RNA". Lineage: Eukaryota; Viridiplantae; Streptophyta; Magnoliopsida; Poales; Poaceae. The record is from RNAcentral.